Molecule: ribosomal RNA, 529 nt
Filed under: uncultured bacterium
Lineage: Bacteria
Description: bacterial SSU rRNA
Rfam family: Bacterial small subunit ribosomal RNA
Source: RNAcentral
AAUAGAUACCCCGGUAGUCCACGCCGUAAACGAUGAGUGCUAAGUGUUAGAGGGUUUCCGCCCUUUAGUGCUGCAGCUAACGCAUUAAGCACUCCGCCUGGGGAGUACGGUCGCAAGACUGAAACUCAAAGGAAUUGACGGGGGCCCGCACAAGCGGUGGAGCAUGUGGUUUAAUUCGAAGCAACGCGAAGAACCUUACCAGGUCUUGACAUCCUCUGACAACUCUAGAGAUAGAGUGUUCCCCCUCGGGGGACAGAGUGACAGGUGGUGCAUGGUUGUCGUCAGCUCGUGUCGUGAGAUGUUGGGUUAAGUCCCGCAACGAGCGCAACCCUUGAUCUUAGUUGCCAGCAUUUAGUUGGGCACUCUAAGGUGACUGCCGGUGACAAACCGGAGGAAGGUGGGGAUGACGUCAAAUCAUCAUGCCCCUUAUGACCUGGGCUACACACGUGCUACAAUGGAUGGUACAAAGGGCUGCAAGACCGCGAGGUCAAGCCAAUCCCAUAAAACCAUUCUCAGUUCGGAUUGUAGG